Long non-coding RNA from Salvelinus fontinalis (brook trout), 785 nucleotides. RefSeq lists it as uncharacterized. The transcript is spliced from 6 exons. Lineage: Eukaryota; Metazoa; Chordata; Actinopteri; Salmoniformes; Salmonidae. The record is from RefSeq and is a predicted model, not a curated record.
GAGAAAGAGAGGGAGGUGGAGUGGAGUGGCUCUCUACUAAAUUGAAGUUGUCACACUGAAUUCAGAACAUCAUUGAUCAGUGGCUUUAAAACUGAUAUGGCAACAAAAAUAAUCUACUUCAGGGUGAAUGGGAGACUAGAGCAGGCAGAGUUUCCAGUGGAUUGACCUACCCAGGAUGUCAAAGAUCUGUUCUGCUCGGCAGCUGAGGCGGGAUCCCAUGGCAUUCUGAAGCUGUACAACCCUAAGGGCAACAUCAACAUCUCCCCGUGCCUGGAGCUCAACAGUCCUAACUCCUGUUAUAAGCUAGAGGUGGUGGCUGCUGACUGCAACAGUGAGAUGUUAGGUGUGGAGCUUGCUGUGGCACUAGGACUUGACCUCUCCUCCAUGGAGAAAAGUGAAGAAAAAGGAAAAGCAGACAACAAGUGCUCAGCAUAUGUGGGAAUUCCUUCAAGAUCAUUGGAAAAGCAUUCCAGGUGAAGCUGGUUGAGAGAAUGCCAAGAGUGUGCAAAGCUGUCAUCAAGACAGCAGGGCUUGGAGAACAAGAUCCUGUUUGAGGCUGGUGAGACUCCUGCAACAUUGUAUGAGAUAAAGAGACAGGUGGAUUCAUUCCAGAAGAAACUUGAGCCGACUGUAUCCAUCUCCCUACAACGUGUUGAACAUCUCAGCUGGCUUGGCCUGUUCAAACAGCUGUCUGAAGGAACACACAAGUCCUCUCCUUUCUACCACAAGAGAACACUGUGCAAGACCAGAGAGGAGUGUGAACAUGUACAGGGAAAGUUCCUGCA